Molecule: ribosomal RNA, 461 nt
Filed under: uncultured bacterium
Lineage: Bacteria
Description: bacterial SSU rRNA
Rfam family: Bacterial small subunit ribosomal RNA
Source: RNAcentral
AACGAACGCUGGCGGCAUGCCUAACACAUGCAAGUCGAACGCCCGUAGCAAUACGGGAGUGGCAGACGGGUGCGUAACGCGUGGGAACCUGCCCAGAGGUUCGGAAUAACUGCGGGAAACUGCAGCUAAUACCGAAUGUUGCCUGAGGGCUAAAGGAGUAAUUCGCCUUUGGAGGGGCCCGCGUCCGAUUAGCUAGUUGGUGGGGUAACGGCCUACCAAGGCGACGAUCGGUAGCUGGUCUGAGAGGAUGACCAGCCACACUGGAACUGAGACACGGUCCAGACUCCUACGGGAGGCAGCAGUAGGGAAUAUUGGACAAUGGGGGCAACCCUGAUCCAGCCAUGCCGCGUGAGUGAAGAAGGCCCUCGGGUUGUAAAGCUCUUUUGUCCGGAAAGAAAGCAAUCGGUUAAUACCCGGUUGUUCUGACGGUACCGGAAGAAUAAGCACCGGCUAACUUCGUG